This 301-nucleotide ribosomal RNA is filed under the name uncultured Methanosarcina sp. Its description in RNAcentral is "bacterial SSU rRNA". It matches the Rfam family "Bacterial small subunit ribosomal RNA", at positions 495 to 795 of the family's 1533-position model. Lineage: Archaea; Methanobacteriati; Methanobacteriota; Methanomicrobia; Methanosarcinales; Methanosarcinaceae. The record is from RNAcentral.
UGCUAACACCGUGCCUGCAGCCGCGGUAAUACGGAGGGUCCAAGCGUUAUCCGGAAUCAUUGGGUUUAAAGGGUCCGUAGGCUGCCUUAUAAGUCAGCGGUGAAAGUUUUUGGCUUAACCAAAAAAUUGCCAUUGAUACUGUAGGGCUUGAAUAUUUGUGAAGUAACUAGAAUAUGUAGUGUAGCGGUGAAAUGCUUAGAUAUUACAUGGAAUACCAAUUGCGAAGGCAGGUUACUAACAAAUGAUUGACGCUGAUGGACGAAAGCGUGGGUAGCGAACAGGAUUAGAUACCCUAGUAGUC